AAGCAGCAAGGACAGUGUUUGG
This 22-nucleotide microRNA is filed under the name Oikopleura dioica. RNAcentral describes it as "odi-miR-1494". The record is from miRBase by way of RNAcentral. Lineage: Eukaryota; Metazoa; Chordata; Appendicularia; Copelata; Oikopleuridae.